This 467-nucleotide ribosomal RNA is filed under the name uncultured bacterium. Its description in RNAcentral is "partial 16S ribosomal RNA". It matches the Rfam family "Bacterial small subunit ribosomal RNA", at positions 28 to 506 of the family's 1533-position model. The record is from RNAcentral.
GACGAACGCUGGCGGCGUGCUUAACACAUGCAAGUCGAACGGAAAGGCCCUGCUUUUGUGGGGUGCUCGAGUGGCGAACGGGUGAGUAACACGUGAGUAACCUGCCCUUGACUUUGGGAUAACUUCAGGAAACUGGGGCUAAUACCGGAUAGGAGCUCCUGCUGCAUGGUGGGGGUUGGAAAGUUUCGGCGGUUGGGGAUGGACUCGCGGCUUAUCAGCUUGUUGGUGGGGUAGUGGCUUACCAAGGCUUUGACGGGUAGCCGGCCUGAGAGGGUGACCGGCCACAUUGGGACUGGGAUACGGCCCGGACUCCUACGGGAGGAAGCGGGGGGGAAUAUUGCACAAUGGGCGGAAGCCUGAUGCAGAAACGCCGCGGGCGGGAGGACGGCCUUCGGGUGGUAAACCGCUUUCGCCUGGGACGAAGCGGGGGUGACGGUAAUGGGAAAAGAAGCACCGGCUAACUACGU